Long non-coding RNA from Ictalurus punctatus (channel catfish), 707 nucleotides. RefSeq lists it as uncharacterized. NCBI's taxonomy places the organism in Eukaryota, Metazoa, Chordata, Actinopteri, Siluriformes, Ictaluridae. The transcript is spliced from 3 exons. The record is from RefSeq and is a predicted model, not a curated record.
AUGCGUCAUGGUCGAAAACCCGCCCCUUCCUUUCGUUGCUACGGACUACAGAGUGUGACGUCGGGCGAUCGAGACUGUGUGUGAGUGUGAUGUGCUGCUUACUCUCAGUGUGGCGUGCCGUCAGGGCUUCCAACUGUGUAGCAUGGUAGUUUAACGUAGCUCCGGUCGGAGCACCAGCUGUUGCCGUCACAACUAUGAUUUUCGGAUGUUCCAUCGUGAGUAUCAUGUCAUCGGAUCAUGGAGCUGAGUGCUUCCUGAGGCUGGGGGAAAUUCUUGGCUGCACUUCAGGCUUUAUCUAAUUAAGGGUUAUUACUGUUGUGUUCAUUGCAGUGAAUUGUGGGUAUGAUUCUGAUUAAUGGGGUGCUUUUCCCUUUUUGUAUAGCUGGUGCGGUUGUACUAGCCUGCCCUACAUACAGGAAGCCUCAGUCCUCCUAUGAUUAUUGUUAACUUUCUCUUGUGUCUGUUUUAUUUAGCCAGUGCUUGAUUGUGUUGGCUGCUCCUUUUUUAAAAUAAUUCUUGGGCAGUCUUUUUAACUUUAAAAUAAAUUGUAUUCUUGUAUGGAAACCCUUGCCUGUUCUAAGUGGAAUGUACAUGCAUGUCUUUUAUUUGGGUUCUUUUCCCCAUUUUCUCGGGGUGGUGUAGUUGGUACAGCAUGAACAAACGAGCCACAUUGCUACAAGGAGAUUAAAACACUACUUACCACUCUC